RNAcentral lists this ribosomal RNA (253 nucleotides) under uncultured bacterium. Its description in RNAcentral is "partial 16S ribosomal RNA". It matches the Rfam family "Bacterial small subunit ribosomal RNA", at positions 524 to 776 of the family's 1533-position model. The record is from RNAcentral.
UACGGGGGGGGCAAGCGUUGUUCGGAAUUACUGGGCGUAAAGGGCUCGUAGGUGGCCAACUAAGUCAGACGUGAAAUCCCUCGGCUUAACCGGGGAACUGCGUCUGAUACUGGAUGGCUUGAGUUCGGGAGAGGGAUGCGGAAUUCCAGGUGUAGCGGUGAAAUGCGUAGAUAUCUGGAGGAACACCGGUGGCGAAGGCGGCAUCCCGGACCGACACUGACACUGUAAAACGAAAGCCAGGGGAGCAAACGGG